GACGAACGCUGGCGGCGUGCUUAACACAUGCAAGUCGAACGAGAGCGUAGAGAAAGCUUGCUUUUUCUACAAUCUAGUGACAAACGGGUGAGUAACGCGUAAACAACCUGCCCUACGGAUGGGGACAACAGCUGGAAACGGCUGCUAAUACCGAAUACGUUCCGAAAGUCGCAUGACUAUCGGAAGAAAGGAUGGCCUCUAUUUAUAAGCUAUCGCCGGAGGAGGGGUUUGCGUCUGAUUAGCUAGUUGGAGGGGUAACGGCCCACCAAGGCGACGAUCAGUAGCCGGUCUGAGAGGAUGAACGGCCACAUUGGAACUGAGACACGGUCCAGACUCCUACGGGAGGCAGCAGUGGGGAAUCUUCCGCAAUGGGCGAAAGCCUGACGGAGCAACGCCGCGUGAGUGAAGACGGCCUUCGGGUUGUAAAGCUCUGUUAUACGGGACGAAUAAUCUUGUGGUUAAUACCCAUGAGAAGUGACGGUACCGUAAGAGAAAGCCACGGCUAACUACGUG
RNAcentral lists this ribosomal RNA (513 nucleotides) under uncultured bacterium. RNAcentral describes it as "partial 16S ribosomal RNA". It matches the Rfam family "Bacterial small subunit ribosomal RNA", at positions 28 to 507 of the family's 1533-position model. The record is from RNAcentral.